AAAGUUUCCUUCGGGAGGCGAGUAGAGUGGCGCACGGGUGAGUAACACGUAGGUAAUCUACCUUUGGAUGGGGAAUAACAACCGGAAACGGUUGCUAAUACCGCAUAAUGCAGCGGCACCUAAUGGUGACAGUUGUUAAAGCGGGGGAUCGAAAGACCUCGCGUCUGAAGAGGAGCCUGCGGCGGAUUAGCUAGUUGGUAAGGUAACGGCUUACCAAGGCGAUGAUCCGUAACCGGCCUGAGAGGGCGGUCGGUCACACUGACACUGACAUACGGGUCAGACUCCUACGGGAGGCAGCAGUCGGGAAUUUUGGGCAAUGGGCGAAAGCCUGACCCAGCAACGCCGCGUGAAGGAUGAAAUCCCUCGGGAUGUAAACUUCGCAAGAACAGGAAGAAUAAGUAGGGGACAAUACCCCCUAUGAUGACGGUACUGUUUGUAAGCUCCGGCUAACUCCGUGCCAGCAGCCGCGGUAAUACGGGGGGAGCAAGCGUUGUUCGGAUUUACUGGGCGUAAAGGGCGCGUAGGCGGCCACCGCAAGUCAGUUGUGAAAUCUCUGGGCUUAACCCAGAAAGGUCAACUGAUACUGCGGGGCUAGAGUGCAGAAGGGGCAACUGGAAUUCUCGGUGUAGCGGUGAAAUGCGUAGAUAUCGAGAGGAACACCUGCGGCGAAGGCGGGUUGCUGGGCUGACACUGACGCUGAUGCGCGAAAGCUAGGGGAGCGAACGGGAUUAGAUACCCCGGUAGUCCUAGCCUUAAACGAUGAAUGCUUGGUGUCUGGGGUUUUAUAGUCCCCGGGUGCCGUCGCUAACGCUUUAAGCAUUCCGCCUGGGGAGUACGGUCGCAAGACUG
RNAcentral lists this ribosomal RNA (849 nucleotides) under uncultured Bacillota bacterium. Its description in RNAcentral is "bacterial SSU rRNA". It matches the Rfam family "Bacterial small subunit ribosomal RNA", at positions 70 to 896 of the family's 1533-position model. Lineage: Bacteria; Bacillati; Bacillota. The record is from RNAcentral.